RNAcentral lists this ribosomal RNA (433 nucleotides) under uncultured bacterium. Its description in RNAcentral is "partial 16S ribosomal RNA". It matches the Rfam family "Bacterial small subunit ribosomal RNA", at positions 29 to 507 of the family's 1533-position model. The record is from RNAcentral.
AACGAACGCUGGCGGCAUGCCUAACACAUGCAAGUCGAACGAGACCUUCGGGUCUAGUGGCGCACGGGUGCGUAACGCGUGGGAACCUGCCCUUAGGUUCGGAAUAACUCCCCGAAAGGGGUGCUAAUACCGGAUAAUGUCUUCGGACCAAAGAUUUAUCGCCUUUGGAUGGGCCCGCGUUGGAUUAGCUAGUUGGUAGGGUAAAAGCCUACCAAGGCGACGAUCCAUAGCUGGUCUGAGAGGAUGAUCAGCCACACUGGGACUGAGACACAGCCCAGACUCCUACGGGAGGCAGCAGUGGGGAAUAUUGGACAAUGGGCGAAAGCCUGAUCCAGCAAUGCCGCGUGAGUGAUGAAGGCCUUAGGGUUGUAAAGCCCUUUUACCCGGGAUGAUAAUGACAGUACCGGGAGAAUAAGCUCCGGCUAACUCCGUG